RNAcentral lists this ribosomal RNA (326 nucleotides) under Globigerinoides ruber albus. RNAcentral's name for it is "SSU rRNA". The record is from RNAcentral. Lineage: Eukaryota; Foraminifera; Rotaliida; Globigerinidae.
AGUAGGAGUCAGGUUUUAAACCUAAUGGCUCUUUCAUGAUUAUAUGAUAGGUGGUGCAUGGCCGUUCUUAGUUCGUGGAGUGAUCUGUCUGCUUAAUUGCGUUUCAAAUUUUUAACCGAGGACCGGGUUUUGGUUUGGCUAGUGGUCCUACGAUGACUGUGAACUGUCAUGUCUUCGGAUGUACGACUAUCGGUCUAGGAUCACAUGACUUGCCCCUGGGACUCUUUUGAACGCAACGGACGUGAUUGCAACCCCUUGUUGAGAUUAGAGAUAGUCUCGAUAUUCACUGGCCAAACUGGCUGCUUUAUGCAGUCUUGUUGAAUGGU